RNAcentral lists this ribosomal RNA (442 nucleotides) under uncultured bacterium. RNAcentral describes it as "partial 16S ribosomal RNA". It matches the Rfam family "Bacterial small subunit ribosomal RNA", at positions 338 to 795 of the family's 1533-position model. The record is from RNAcentral.
CCUACGGGUGGCAGCAGUAGGGAAUCUUUCACAAUGGGCGAAAGCCUGAUGGAGCAACGCCGCGUGCAGGAUGAAGGCCCUCGGGUUGUAAACUGCUUUUAUAAGCGAGAAAUAUGAUGGUAACUUAUGAAUAAGGUUCGGCUAACUACGUGCCAGCAGCCGCGGUCAUACGUAGGAUCCGGGCAUUAUCCGGAGUGACUGGGUGUAAAGAGUUGCGUAGGUGGCAUAAUAAGUAGCUAGUGGAAUCUGGUGGCGCAACCAUUCAGACUAUUAGCUAAACUGUUAAGCUCGAGAACGUUAGGGGUAACUGGAAUUUGUAGUGUAGGAGUGAAAUCCGUAGAUAUUAGAAGGAACACCGAUAGCGUAGGCAGGUUACCGGGACGGUUCUGACACUAAGGCACGAAAGCGUAGGGAGCAAACGGGAUUAGAUACCCGGGUAGUC